CAUCGCGUUUAGAAGAAUUUCAACUCUUAUUAGGGAGAAAAUUGCCCUCUCUCCUCUAGACCUCAACAAACAUCAUAUUGAGCCUUAGAUUGUCUUGACCAAGGCUCAUAACGUAACCCCACUCUCCCUCCCAUAAAAUGACUUUUUCUAGUCACAUUGACGUCAAUAUGUCUUGGAACGUCAAGACAAACCCAUUUUUUUCUUCUCCAAGAUAUUUUUACCAUCUAAAUGUGACAUGACAACGUUUGAAAGAGUGGAUGCCAUAUGUAGCAUAUUGAAAAUAUUUAUAGAGGCAAGGCUUGGUUGUACGCCAAGUGGGUGAACAACCUAAACAACGGUCAUUAUAUCAAUAGAGGCAAGGCAUGGUCG
Molecule: long non-coding RNA, 369 nt
Filed under: Arabidopsis thaliana (thale cress)
Lineage: Eukaryota; Viridiplantae; Streptophyta; Magnoliopsida; Brassicales; Brassicaceae
Description: ncRNA (AT4G05765)
Source: RNAcentral